AAACUUGCAUUUUGACGUAAAUCACUUCGAAGCGAUAAAGAAGGAAUUAAACCAAUAUAUGCAGGACU
RNAcentral lists this transfer RNA (68 nucleotides) under Anolis unilobatus. RNAcentral's name for it is "tRNA-Cys". Lineage: Eukaryota; Metazoa; Chordata; Lepidosauria; Squamata; Anolidae. The record is from RNAcentral.